ACGGCUACCACAUCUAAGGAAGGCAGCAGGCGCGCAAAUUACCCAAUUCUAACAGCAUAAGAGAGGUAGUGACAAGAAAUAACAGUACAAGGCAGUUAAAAUGCUUUGUAAUUGGAAUGAUAGAAAUUUAAAUACUUUUUAAAGUAUCAAUUGGAGGGCAAGUCUGGUGCCAGCAGCCGCGGUAAUUCCAGCUCCAAUAGCGUAUAUUAAAAUUGUUGCAGUUAAAAAGCUCGUAGUUGAAUUUUUGCUAAAAAUAACCGGUCUGCUUUUAUUAAUAAAAGUGGUAUCUUGGUGUGUUUUUAGCAAUAAUGUCCUUUGAAAUGUUUUUUACUUUAUUGUAAAAAACAAUUUUCAGGAUUUUUACUUUGAGAAAAUUAGAGUGUUUCAAGCAGGCUAACGUUUUGAAUACUGCAGCAUGGAAUAAUAAAAUAGGAUUUUAGUUCUACGUUAUUGGUUUUAAGAACUAAAUUAAUGAUUGAUAGGAGCAGUUGGGGGCAUUUGUAUUUAACUGUCAGAGGU
RNAcentral lists this ribosomal RNA (519 nucleotides) under Hepatozoon sp. DJH-2014c. Its description in RNAcentral is "partial 18S ribosomal RNA". It matches the Rfam family "Eukaryotic small subunit ribosomal RNA", at positions 403 to 912 of the family's 1831-position model. The record is from RNAcentral. Lineage: Eukaryota; Apicomplexa; Hepatozoidae.